CCUACGGGUGGCAGCAGUGAGGAAUAUUGGUCAAUGGGCGUAAGCCUGAACCAGCCAAGUCGCGUGAGGGAUGAAGGUUCUAUGGAUCGUAAACCUCUUUUAUAAGGGAAUAAAGUGUGGGACGUGUCCUAUUUUGUAUGUACCUUAUGAAUAAGGAUCGGCUAACUCCGUGCCAGCAGCCGCGGUAAUACGGAGGAUCCGAGCGUUAUCCGGAUUUAUUGGGUUUAAAGGGUGCGUAGGCGGCCUUUUAAGUCAGCGGUGAAAGUCUGUGGCUCAACCAUAGAAUUGCCGUUGAAACUGGGGGGCUUGAAUAUGUUUAGGGCAGGCGGAAUACGUGGUGUAGCGGUGAAAUGCUUAGAUAUCACGAAGAACCCCGAUUGCGAAGGCAGCCUGCCAGGCCAUGACUGACGCUGAUGCACGAAAGCGUGGGGAUCAAACAGGAUUAGAUACCCCAGUAGUC
Molecule: ribosomal RNA, 460 nt
Filed under: uncultured bacterium
Lineage: Bacteria
Description: partial 16S ribosomal RNA
Rfam family: Bacterial small subunit ribosomal RNA
Source: RNAcentral